This 117-nucleotide ribosomal RNA is filed under the name Danio rerio (zebrafish). The record is from RNAcentral. Lineage: Eukaryota; Metazoa; Chordata; Actinopteri; Cypriniformes; Danionidae.
UGUCUCAGUCUUAUCACCCUGCAGUCCAAGACCGCUUACUCACUGAAGCUAAGCAACGCUGACCCUGAUCACUACCUGCAUGGGAGACCACCUGGGAAAACUAGGUUGCUGUUGGAA